CAGUCUAGGCAGAAGAAAUUGCAACUGUGAAAGGAAGAUUUGCAUGAAAGAAUGGUGUUUUUGGCUGAGUGAGGAAUUUGAAGUAUCUGGAAAAUGGAAGCUCCACUUGUUCAACAGCCUCUCCUCCAGUUUCGACCCCAGUCACAGGACACAAGAGAAUGGUCAUCCCGAACCAACCCCCUCUAACAGCAACCAAAAAGUCUACAUUGAAACCACAGCCUGCACCCCAGGCUGGACCCAUCCCUGUGGCUCCAAUCGGAACACUCAAACCCCAGCCUCAGCCAGUCCCAGCCUCCUACACCACGGCCUCCACUUCUUCAAGGCCUACCUUUAAUGUGCAGGUGAAGUCAGCCCAGCCCAGCCCUCAUUAUAUGGCUGCCCCGUCAUCAGGACAAAUGUAUGGCUCAGGGCCCCAGGGCUAUAACACUCAGCCAGUUCCCGUCUCUGGGCAGUGUCCACCUCCUUCAACACGGGGAGGCAUGGAUUAUGCCUACAUUCCACCACCAGGACUUCAGCCUGAGCCUGGGUAUGGGUAUGCCCCCAACCAGGGGCGCUAUUAUGAAGGCUACUAUGCAGCAGGGCCAGGCUAUGGGGGCAGAAAUGACUCCGAUCCUGCCUAUGGUCAACAAGGUCACCCAAAUACCUGGAAACGGGAACCAGGGUACACUCCUCCUGGAGCAGGGAACCAGAACCCUCCUGGGAUGUAUCCAGUCACUGGUCCCAAGAAGACCUAUAUCACAGAUCCUGUUUCAGCCCCCUGUGCACCACCAUUGCAGCCAAAGGGUGGCCAUACAGGGCAACUGGGGCCUUCGUCAGUUGCCCCUUCAUUCCGCCCAGAGGAUGAGCUUGAGCACCUGACCAAAAAGAUGCUGUAUGACAUGGAAAAUCCACCUGCUGACGAAUACUUUGGCCGCUGUGCUCGCUGUGGAGAAAACGUAGUUGGGGAAGGUACAGGAUGCACUGCCAUGGAUCAGGUCUUCCACGUGGAUUGUUUUACC
RNAcentral lists this small RNA (998 nucleotides) under Pongo abelii (Sumatran orangutan). RNAcentral's name for it is "processed transcript". The record is from RNAcentral. Lineage: Eukaryota; Metazoa; Chordata; Mammalia; Primates; Hominidae.